GGGGGUAUAGCUCAGUUGGUAGAGUGCUUGUCUCACAAGCUCAAAGCCCUGGGUUCAAUCCCCAUCACUACUA
This 73-nucleotide transfer RNA is filed under the name Ictidomys tridecemlineatus (thirteen-lined ground squirrel). Its description in RNAcentral is "Spermophilus tridecemlineatus (thirteen-lined ground squirrel) tRNA". It matches the Rfam family "tRNA". From Rfam's summary of the family: Transfer RNA (tRNA) molecules are approximately 80 nucleotides in length. Lineage: Eukaryota; Metazoa; Chordata; Mammalia; Rodentia; Sciuridae. The record is from Rfam by way of RNAcentral.